GUCGACCCUGCACCUGGUCUUCUGUCUGAGAGGUGGUGUGCAGAUCUUCGUGAAGACCCUCACUGGCAAGACUGUCACCCUGGAGGUAGACAGUGACAUCAUUGAAAAUGUGAAACCAAGAUCCAGGAUAAAGAAGACAUCCUCCAGACCAGCAGAGGCUCAUCUUCACAGGCAAGCAGCUGGAAGAUGUCCACACUCUUUCUGACUAUAAAAUCCAGAAAGUGUCGACCCUGCACCUGGUCCUGCAUCUGAGGGGUGGCUGUUAA
This 266-nucleotide long non-coding RNA is filed under the name Homo sapiens (human). RNAcentral's name for it is "non-protein coding lnc-SLITRK5-16:1". Lineage: Eukaryota; Metazoa; Chordata; Mammalia; Primates; Hominidae. The record is from RNAcentral.